Molecule: ribosomal RNA, 497 nt
Filed under: uncultured bacterium
Lineage: Bacteria
Description: partial 16S ribosomal RNA
Rfam family: Bacterial small subunit ribosomal RNA
Source: RNAcentral
GAUGAACGCUGGCGGCGUGCCUAAUACAUGCAAGUCGAGCGAACAGACGAGGAGCUUGCUCCUUUGACGUUAGCGGCGGACGGGUGAGUAACACGUAGGUAACCUACCUAUAAGACUGGGAUAACUUCGGGAAACCGGAGCUAAUACCGGAUAAUAUUUCGAACCGCAUGGUUCGAUAGUGAAAGAUGGCUUUGCUAUCACUUAUAGAUGGACCUGCGCCGUAUUAGCUAGUUGGUAAGGUAACGGCUUACCAAGGCAACGAUACGUAGCCGACCUGAGAGGGUGAUCGGCCACACUGGAACUGAGACAGGGUCCAGACUCCUACGGGAGGCAGCAGUAGGGAAUCUUCCGCAAUGGGCGAAAGCCUGACGGAGCAACGCCGCGUGAGUGAUGAAGGUCUUCGGAUCGUAAAGCUCUGUUAUUAGGGAAGAACAAACGUGUAAGUAACUGUGCACGUCUUGACGGUACCUAAUCAGAAAGCCACGGCUAACUACGUG